Long non-coding RNA from Pseudophryne corroboree (corroboree frog), 3411 nucleotides. RefSeq lists it as uncharacterized. The record is from RefSeq and is a predicted model, not a curated record. The transcript has 4 exons. Lineage: Eukaryota; Metazoa; Chordata; Amphibia; Anura; Myobatrachidae.
UGCUGCUGUGCUGUGAGAGGGAGAGUUGAAGCUGAUGCACAUGCAGGGCAGCCAGUGAGAGUAAACUCUGCUGUAGUGUGUGAGGAAUAGAAGAGUUUCCUUUUGAACUAAAGAUAAUCUGCAGGACAGACACAUGUCCAGUGUGAAAGGUGGCGACACAGGAUUUUCCCGGAACCAAAGUGUGGAGGGACGUCCUAGAAUGGAACCAAACUGACUAGCUGAGAAAGGAACCUCAGAGAGAAAAGUAAGAGUACAGUAGCUGCCCACUUGACAGAGAGCAACAAACAAAUAAGCCAGCACUCCCUAUGGGGCUGUUGCUGGAGUUCCCAGUGGCUGCAAGUCUCCAAGCCAAGUCCCACAAUGGUUCCUGGCUGGCCUCCUAACGCAUUUCACUGUCUUUUGGAAGCUUUAUCCUACAUCAACCGCGGAAUGGACUGGUGUUAGAGGAAAGUGGUAGUGGACACAGACUCCAGUUUUCGUUAUCUAAUAAAUGAGCUGUAUGUCUUUUUUGGAAAGGAAGCAAUGACAAGGGCUGACUGAUGGCCUCCACUACUGUGGGUUUUCAGGGCUUAAUGGACAAACCCUUUACCACUGUUCCAGUGAGCUAGAGUGGAUGGGUGCAGUUACUGAGAGAGGUUACAUGCAUGCAGAUACAAAGAGGUAUCAGCAUAAAGAAACAAAAUGUUGAUCAGUUAGUGAAUAACAAGACAUAGUGAUCUGUAGUUAGUACUUUUUAAUUUGUAAGCAGAUGUUAAUGUUUUUUUAGAUUUGUUUACAUUGCACCAGACACGACAACAACAACAACACACCAUACAUUAUUUGUUACAGAAAUAGUUACUUGUAGAUGCUUCAUUUUUGUGUGUUUCAUUUUUAUAUUGGAAUCUAGCAUCUAUAUUUUUUCUUUUGUUAUCAGACGGUGACUACAGAGUUUUUCAGGGAUUUUAAAAAUGAAUGACUGUUGUGAUAGCUACAAUCAGGGGCGGAUUGGGAACAAAAAGCGGCCCUGGAAAAAAAAUUUGUACUAGUGGCCCCACAUGGGCAGCACCAGAGGUGUAAGGUCUAGCCAUGGGCCAUGGCAGCAGCACCCUCCCCACAAGACUUUCCAGAUAGUGGGCAUGUCCAGCAUCAAGGGGGAAGUUAAAAGGAAAUAAAAUUAAAUAUUACGAGCACAUUAUAUGAUACACCUUCAGAGUUUAGGAAACUAUAUCAUUCUUUAGAAAGAUAUAUUUUCUUGCUUAUUACACCAACCGCAUAUCCCAAUCACUAUUCACUCAAUCUUAUAUCUCAGCCAAGCAGGCAGACAGAGCAUACACUAGAUCAUCUGCAAUCACAGGAUAAGUGGCAAAGUAAUUUUCAUAUAUGCAAAUUGUUUGGCAUCUUAUUCAUUAUGUCUAUAAAUAGGACCACAUGUCCUCAAACAAAACAGGCCCCACGGGUGCGUCGGCCCACCGGGAAUCUUCCCUGUAGGCUCUAUGGCCAAUCCGCCUCUGGCUACAAUGGUAAUGUAAUAAUCAUCAUCUUUUAUGGACAGUACUGUUAGAGCAGAAUAUUUAUUCAGUUUUAUACUGUAUUUCCAAAACCUUCGUAUUUGCAUACCUUCCAACAUCUAGAAAUACAGAGUUGAGACUUCUUGCACGCUAAAAGGAGCAUGCUCCCGACAAGGGGGCGUGUCCUCAGCAAAAUGACACAUGGCUUCACAGGAAUGCCACUAUCACGAACCACGCCCCCUGUUUUGUGUCAAUGCGAGGGCAUGCCCAGCGCUCUUUUCAGCUGCUGGCAUGCCCUCAGUCCCUCUGCCUCCCAUGAAUAGAUGCUGUGCACAGCAUUCAUUCACCGCAGAGCUGAGAGUAACAGGUGGCCUCCCAACUGCCCCCCACCCCACCCCACCACCACUGCGGGGCACUGCAAACUACAGGUGGGACAGAAAUACAGUCCCAAACAAAGUAACUUUCCCAAGAAACACAGGACAGUUGGGAGGUAUGGAUUUGCACAUUAUACAUUAUUACUGGGAUUACAUGUUAUCCUCUUCUACUACACCCUCACAAUCUGCAUUACUGCACUGUGUAUAAGUAAUGAGGAUUUUACAAUGAAACACAGAGAGAAACGAGUACCAUUACUCAUAUUGCAGCAUAGCCACAAACGAUCUAGCUUUUAAUGGAACAAUACAAUUUUUUUUUUUUUAUUAACCAUUGACAAAAGGUGGGUGGGCAGUACAAACCGGGGCAUGACAGAGAGGUUAGAAUAAGUAGUGGGGGAAAUGUUAAAAUAAAAAUAUGAACAAGCAAUAAUAUUGCGGAAUAUGUAUAAGCGAUAUAUAUGACUUUAAGGAGGUGACGUCAGAUAACUGAAACAGAGAAAUCUGAGGUUUAUCGGAGCAAUGGCGAACCCUGAAUGCCUAGCACAGCAAUGAUAUUAAAUUGUUGCCCGUUCAUUCCAUGUCCGCCGAUGCCACCAAAACAAACUGUAAGUGCUUUAGUCACUGCACAUGCCUCUGUACUAAACCAUAAUAAAUCUAGGCAUGUUGGCUAAACUCUCAGCUACAGGUAAUGAGUUAAGUAGAUGAAGUGAGGCCGCUAGCAGAGAAUAAUUAGUAAUCUUUCCUGCACCUGCUCCCUUUAUGGAAGACAGGUGAGCAGAGAUAAGAGCCGUCUGCCAAGGUCAAUGCAGACUGUUCCCCAGAGCAGAGGGUGUUGCAAUGCUGCAGUGGCACAAUGCGGGAAGUUACUGUCCGGCCUUAACACAAACACUGCAUUUUAUACUACAUAUUUUUUUACAUAACAGACAUUUCUAGCAGAUGCUUUCCUUACUAAAGGUAUGAGCUGUCAGGAUUGCUGGAGCUGUAACACAAGCACACAAACACUGAUUUAUUGAUAGUUCCUCCAUCUCCUAUUCAUUUAUUACAUUUAACAGAUUAUCCACAAUCACAGCUGUGAGGUUUGCUUGUGCGAUAAAAUGUGUGGAAGCUAAAGGACAACCGUGGAGCAACACUGUCCUCCAGUGGUCAUUUGUAGUAGCUGGAAAGAAAUGUAGGACUGUUUGAAAUCAACUGCUCUUCAUGAAUGAGACAGAAUCUGAAGGAGCAAGGGUUCCGGUAUGAAUGGUCGACCGUGUUAUGGUCGACAGUCAUUAGGUCGACCACUAUUGGUCGUCAUUGACAUGGUCGACAUGGACACAUGGUCGACACAUGAAAGGUCGACACAUUAAAAGGUCGACAUGAGUUUUUUAACUUUUUUCUCUUUUGGGGAACUUUUCCAUACUUUACGAUCCACAUGGACUACGAUUGGAACGGUAAAGUGUGCCGAGCGAAGCGGUAGCGGAGCGAAGCACCAUGCCCGAAGCAUGGCAAGCGAAGCGAGCCAUGCAAGGGGACGCGGUGCACUAAUUGGGGUUCCCAGUCACUUUACGCAAAAA